UGCAAGGCCACUCAACCAUGUGCUAGCUGGAGUGAUCUUUAUUCACAAUGUCUUUACAAAGGCUCCUGCAACACAGCAGCAAUGGCAAUUUGGCGGACUUCUGCGCUGGGCCAGCGUAUAGCUCUUACUCCACACUCACCGGCAGCCUUACGAUGGACGAUAAUAGAAGGAUUCAAAUGCUAGCAGACACGGUGGCUACUCUGCCUCGGGGACGAAAGCAGCUUGCUUUGACCAGAUCAAGUUCUUUAAGUGACUUUUCCUGGUCUCAAAGCUUGUUACUGUGGAGAAGCAGGAUAAUGAAACAUUUGGAUUUGAAAUUCAGUCUUACAGGCCCCAGAAUCAGAAUGCCUGCUCCUCGGAAAUGUUCACUUUGAUAUGCAAAAUACAGGAGGACAGCCCAGCUCACUGUGCUGGCCUGCAAGCUGGUAACUUAAAUUUUUGCUCAUGUUAGGAAUCAUUUAAAUGGAAAGAAAAUAAAAUGUUUUGAGAGUGAAGGUCAGGAUGUAUUUGUUGCUUUGAGUUUUCUUGGCUCCUUUAUGUUUUUAAGACUUGGAGCUGCUUGUUUCAUUUGCAUGUCAGGAGGGAUUAUUUAACUAACCAACAUAACACUCAUUUUUCUUGGCAUCUCCCAGGUGAUGUCCUUGCAAAUAUCAAUGGUGUGAGCACAGAAGGUUUUACCUACAAACAAGUCGUUGACCUGAUCAGAUCGUCCGGAAACCUGCUAACGUAACUAUCUGUCUAGUUCCCGUGGGGCUUCAAAAUGUUAUGUUUUCUCAUAAAGCCUGAUGAGUGAAUAAAUAGGCCUUUUGUUCAGCAUUACAAGACGGAGUGAGGCAGUGCACCGGAGCUUUAGAGUGGGGUACAAACAUUAUCAGUUCCUUUUGUUUCUCAAGAUUCCUCACACUUGAACAUACUGUCAACAUCUGAAGUCAGAGGACAUCAAUAGCCCAAACGUCUGUGUGGGAAGGAUGGCCUUUACAAAUGUAUUUUUUUAAUGUCAAAUUCAAUUAAACUGGCACACAUUCUCUUUAAACUGGGAAGAACUGAUCCAAUUUUCAUGGUUGAUAUAAUCCUGUAGCUAAAACAAAUCAAAGGUCAGAAGGGCUGAGUUUUUCCUCUUAUGUGACAAGCCACCUGUUUUUCUCUUCUAGUGUUCCAUUUGGAAGGAAGAAUAGUCUGUUCAACCCUCCCCACCCUGAAACACACAUACUCACACCACAUGUUCCAAAUGUUCCAAACUUCUUUUUUUUUUUUUUUUUUUUGAGACGGAGUCUCGCUCUGUCGCCCUGGAUGGAGUGCAGUGGCGCGAUCUUGGCUCACUGCAAGCUCUGCCUCCCAGGUUCACGCCAUUCUCCUGCCUCAGCCUCCCUAGUAGCUGGGACUACAGGCGCCCACCACCAUGCCCGGCUAAUUUUUUGUAUUUUUAGUAGAGACGGGGUUUCAUCGUGUUAGCCAGGAUGGUCUCAAUCUCCUGACCUCAUGAUCCACCCGCCUCCGCCUCCCAAAGUGCUGGGAUUACAGGCAUGAGCCACCGCCCCUGGCCCCAAACUUCUUAAUAGAACACUGGCUUUCCCAAUUAGAGGUUUGACUGAUUUUUCUACCAUAACAAUACUAGCACCUAAUAAAAUCUUAUUAGGAUAGUUAAAUGAUGAAAUUCGCUCAUUCAUUAAAAUCAUAUUUAUUGAGCAAAUACUAUGUUUCCAGCUCUGUGAUAGGCUCAGGAGAGACGAAGAUAAAGACUCUCUUAGUACGUUAAUAGUUAUGGAAGGAAAUGGCUCAGAAAAGCCUGAAAUUUAAGUAAUGUGUAUAUUUCAGUUAUUGAUAACUACUAUGAGAAAAGUGCAAAACAGCAAUGGCCUGUCAUGCUAGGUAAGAAGGCUGCUAGUUUGGCUUAGAUGUGUAAAGUGGUCUUUUCUAGGGAGGCGAUAUUUGAGUUGAGAUCUAAAUGAAGAGAAGGAUGGUCAAAUGAACUCCUCGUAAGAGCACUUCAGGCAAAGAGAGAGGUCUCUGAGUGCUCACAAUGGGCUUGGCAUGUACAAGGGAAAGAG
RNAcentral lists this long non-coding RNA (2048 nucleotides) under Homo sapiens (human). RNAcentral's name for it is "HSALNT0041965". Lineage: Eukaryota; Metazoa; Chordata; Mammalia; Primates; Hominidae. The record is from RNAcentral.